UACGUAGGGUGCAAGCGUUAAUCGGAAUUACUGGGCGUAAAGCGUGCGCAGGCGGUUGUGCAAGACAGAUGUGAAAUCCCCGGGCUUAACCUGGGAAUUGCAUUUGUGACUGCACGGCUAGAGUGUGUCAGAGGGGGGGUAGAAUUCCACGUGUAGCAGUGAAAUGCGUAGAGAUGUGGAGGAAUACCGAUGGCGAAGGCAGCCCCCUGGGUCAAUACUGACGCUCAUGCACGAAAGCGUGGGGAGCAAACAGG
RNAcentral lists this ribosomal RNA (254 nucleotides) under uncultured bacterium. RNAcentral describes it as "partial 16S ribosomal RNA". It matches the Rfam family "Bacterial small subunit ribosomal RNA", at positions 524 to 776 of the family's 1533-position model. The record is from RNAcentral.